RNAcentral lists this ribosomal RNA (520 nucleotides) under uncultured Glomeromycotina. Its description in RNAcentral is "SSU rRNA". It matches the Rfam family "Eukaryotic small subunit ribosomal RNA", at positions 569 to 1090 of the family's 1831-position model. The record is from RNAcentral. Lineage: Eukaryota; Fungi; Glomeromycota.
AGCGGCCGCGGUAAUUCCAGCUCCAAUAGCGUAUAUUAAAGUUGUUGCAGUUAAAAAGCUCGUAGUUGAAUUUCGGGAUCAGCGCGUCGGUCGUGCCUCCGGUAUGCACUGGCGCCGCUGGUUUCUCCCUUCUGAGGAACCGUGAUGUCAUUAAUUUGGUGUUGCGGGAAAUCAGGACUGUUACUUUGAAAAAUUAGAGUGUUUAAAGCGGGCACGCGCUUGAAUACAUUAGCAUGGAAUAACGAAAUAGGACGUUCGAUCUUAUUUUGUUGGUUUCUAGGAUUGACGUAAUGAUUAAUAGGGAUAGUUGGGGGCAUUAGUAUUCAAUUGUCAGAGGUGAAAUUCUUGGAUUUAUUGAAGACUAACUACUGCGAAAGCAUUUGCCAAGGAUGUUUUCAUUAAUCAAGAACGAAAGUUAGGGGAUCGAAGACGAUCAGAUACCGUCGUAGUCUUAACCAUAAACUAUGCCGACUAGGGAUCGGAUGAUGUUAAUUUUUUAAUGUACUCAUUCGGCGCCUUA